GGUGAAAAGCACCCCGGAAGGGGAGUGAAAUAGAACCUGAAACCGUGUGCUUACAAGUAGUCAGAGCCCGUUAAUGGGUGAUGGCGUGCCUUUUGUAGAAUGAACCGGCGAGUUACGAUUUGAUGCAAGGUUAAGCAGUAAAUGUGGAGCCGUAGCGAAAGCGAGUCUGAAUAGGGCGUUUAGUAUUUGGUCGUAGACCCGAAACCAGGUGAUCUACCCUUGGUCAGGUUGAAGUUCAGGUAACACUGAAUGGAGGACCGAACCGACUUACGUUGAAAAGUGAGCGGAUGAACUGAGGGUAGCGGAGAAAUUCCAAUCGAACCUGGAGAUAGCUGGUUCUCUCCGAAAUAGCUUUAGGGCUAGCCUCAAGUGAUGAUUAUUGGAGGUAGAGCACUGUUUGGACGAGGGGCCCCUCUCGGGUUACCGAAUUCAGACAAACUCCGAAUGCCAAUUAAUUUAACUUGGGAGUCAGAACAUGGGUGAUAAGGUCCGUGUUCGAAAGGGAAACAGCCCAGACCACCAGCUAAGGUCCCAAAAUAUAUGUUAAGUGGAAAAGGAUGUGGCGUUGCCCAGACAACUAGGAUGUUGGCUUAGAAGCAGCCAUCAUUUAAAGAGUGCGUAAUAGCUCACUAGUCGAGUGACACUGCGCCGAAAAUGUACCGGGGCUAAACAUA
This 674-nucleotide ribosomal RNA is filed under the name Staphylococcus aureus. RNAcentral describes it as "partial 23S ribosomal RNA". It matches the Rfam family "Bacterial large subunit ribosomal RNA", at positions 513 to 1190 of the family's 2925-position model. The record is from RNAcentral. Lineage: Bacteria; Bacillati; Bacillota; Bacilli; Caryophanales; Staphylococcaceae.